Molecule: ribosomal RNA, 460 nt
Filed under: uncultured bacterium
Lineage: Bacteria
Description: partial 16S ribosomal RNA
Rfam family: Bacterial small subunit ribosomal RNA
Source: RNAcentral
CCUACGGGCGGCAGCAGUGAGGAAUAUUGGUCAAUGGACGAGAGUCUGAACCAGCCAAGUAGCGUGAAGGAUGACUGCCCUAUGGGUUGUAAACUUCUUUUAUAAAGGAAUAAAACGAGGCACGGGUGCCUUUUUGCAUGUACUUUAUGAAUAAGGAUCGGCUAACUCCGUGCCAGCAGCCGCGGUAAUACGGAGGAUCCGAGCGUUAUCCGGAUUUAUUGGGUUUAAAGGGAGCGUAGAUGGGUUGUUAAGUCAGUUGUGAAAGUUUGCGGCUCAACCGUAAAAUUGCAAUUGAUACUGGCAGUCGUGAGUACAGUUGAGGUAGGCGGAAUUCGUGGUGUAGCGGUGAAAUGCUUAGAUAUCACGAAGAACCCCGAUUGCGAAGGCAGCUUACUAAACUGUGACUGACAUUGAUGCUCGAAAGUGUGGGUAUCAAACAGGAUUAGAUACCCGAGUAGUC